UUUUUCAGUUUAGACAUGAUCCAGGUGGAGAGGACAAAGGAGAUGCGUCUGAAUUCAAUCAAGACGCAGAUACUGAGCUACCUGGGUCUUCUGGGCGGGCAGCCCAAUAUCAGCAGCAACCAGAACAACGGCACAAGCAAUCAACAGGCGGAGAUCAUCCGUCAGAUGUACGACAAGAUGAAGAGGUUACCGCAGUGGCCUCCCUCCGAUGUAUACACCGAGAAAGUACAGAGUUUCUACCCUUCCUGUGAAUUACCAAGGAAUACAGAUGAAGAACUGUGGAGCAACGGAGAGUCGAUGCAUUUGCUGUUUGAUUUGAAUUUCCCGACCAGUUUGCAAGGCAAUGUUGUCAACAUCAUCGCUGCUAAACUCAGGCUGCAUAAGGUCUCCCAGGCCAACAUGACAGUGGCUGUUUCUGAGACGUGCCCUCCUCCUGCAUUCGAUGGGGGUGAGUCCACCCCUGCCAUCAAGGCAUUCAACCCCAGCCUCCCUCUACCACCUUCCCCUAUCACCGUGGACGAUAAGAAAAUUCGAGUCUCCAUCUACUGGUACACCAGAUCCCUCAAGAAACACCGCGUGAAGAGGAAGCUGCUAGACAGUCAGAUGGUGUCUGUGUACGGGGACGCGUGGACCGAGUGGAAUGUCCGCCAGGCAGUCAAGGCCUGGAAGGAGUCCAACAAGAACUUCGGCCUGGCCAUCGAGGUGGAAGAUGAAGACGGAAAUCUGCUGCCGGCACACAAAUACUUCUCGCCUAUGAACUGCUCCAAGGAGGCCUCGACCUCCCGACCAAUCCCCGGCUUCCUGGUGGACGCGGCACGCCUCUUCUCGCUGGAGCACAACCAAUCAGAGACGAGCAAUGGCGGCAGUAGCUCCGCCUACCACUUCAACACGCACAUGUUCCCCAUGAUAGACCUGUGCACGGUUGAACUGCCCGAGACGGAAAUCGCCGAAGCUGUGCUCUAUCAUAAUGCCAAGUUCGCACUGGAAAGACAGCUGUUGACUGUCGUGAGGAAUAACAGCAUUGCGUCAGCUGACGUCAUGGAUGACAACAGGCAUAGGAUCAGGCAUCAGAAUCAUCAUAGGAUUGUGGUGAUGAACAGCACCGCUGUGGAAGCAAUGGCGGAUGCUGCCUCUUCGAUCUCGUCAUCGUCGCCUCCAGCCAGUGCCUCACUGAUCGCGUCGUCGCCAGUGCGACACACAGAGGUGGUGCGACGCGACAACGGCGACAGUGUCGAGGAGAUGACCUUCACGAGCAGCACCGAUGACCUUGACGGCGAUCAGCUGAGAAAGCACAUCAUUGUGCAGAAGGUCAUCAAACGCAACCGGCAGCCAGCGUCAGCUGAUUGAACUGCAACAGCUGAUCGAUGGUGACCUUGAACUUGACUACUUGCAACAGCUGAUCGAUGGUGACCUUGAACUUGACUACUUGGAACAGCUGAUCGAUGGUGACCUUGAACUGACACAGACUUACACAAAUGACCUUGGGUUGACAGGGUUGACAGAUGACCUUGAAAUAGACUUCUAGAUUUCUUCCAUACACAGUUAAAUGACUACUGGUGAUAGAGUGAGGUACACUUCAUAAAAGCAGUAUUUUAAGGAUAUCCAGGAUCAUCCUAUCCAUUAAAAAACCAAAAAAUGGUUUGAUUUAGAAAAAACUCAACCAAAAAUGGAAGAUUUGAAACGAACAUCAAGUAAUGAUGCAUGAUGAUGAAAGAUCUUCUAAUAUUUUUCACCCAUUUUGAAUCAACUAGCUACUUUCCUAUCUACCUAGUCGAUUUUGUGGACUGUAAAGUGAAUAAAACCAUUAUUACAGAAAUCAUUUAUUCAAAAAAUUGAAUAGAAAACAAUAUAAAUGCGCACCUCAGUUCACUCAGAGUUCAUAAUAUUGGUGAUCGAUUGCUUACUUGAUGAAAUGUUUAUUCAUUUAUCUUUGACAAUGCAUGUCAAAAUGAUAGACUUCCCAUGAACUUUUCUCUAAAAUCGACUGAAUAUUAUCCAAGCUCUUCAUAAUAUUGCAUUUUUUGUAAAUGAAACAGAGCCUGUAUGCUUUUCUUAAAAUGUGUGUAUACAGAGCUGGGCUACUCAUUUUUUAUCCAUAGAAUAACAUCAUAGUAGGCUACCCUUUUCUUGAAAAGUUUUCAAAUAUAAAAUAACAGAUUGAAAACACGAAGCCUGUAGGCUUUAUAUUUUUUUGAAAAACCUGCAAUUUUUCUUGGUUCCAUAUUAUGAAACCAGGAGGCCUCUAUAAAUAAUUAGGAAUAUCUGAUAAUAUAGUUGAGUAUUGCCUAUAUGUUUAUUUAUUAAUCUCAAGAAGAACUAAUGCUAAUAUACAAUAUUUUGAACAAUUCUCAACAAUAAAAAAUAAAUAAUAUGAAGAAAAAACCAAGGAGAAAGAAUAUUAUUUAUGCUUCUACAAUAUUUGGAACAAUUUUUAACAAAAGAAAAAGAAUUAUAUUGUGUUUUCUCUGAAAAUAAAUAAUAAAACAGCUCUUCUCAAAUGUAAUGUCCAAUAGAACUGAUAUAAUAUUGUAUUAUUGAACAGUCAUUUAGAUUUAGGUUUCAAAUAUUUUUGUUCAAUGUGAAUAAUUAUGUUAUUCAUGAAUCAUAACAAUGAACUUCAUGAUUCUUUAUUGAUUCAUACAAUAAGUACAUCAUCAAAGUUCUCUUUAUUCAGAAUAGCCCCUGUUGAAUCAGUAAUUGAUGAAUACCAAUUCUAUUGAAAUAAAUUAUGGUAACUGAAAAUCAAACUUAAAAUCGGAAUCUGAAAGACUGACUGUAUAUUUUAUGAAUAUUAUAUAAAUACUAAUUAAUUCUUAAGCAUUAUGCAACAUGAUGCACAGUAGUUAUAACUGCUACCCACUAUUCUAGUGUUUUUUAUGUGUAGAUGAUUUAGAAUUUAAUUUAUAUUAACUCUAAUGAUAAGCUAUCUAUAAUUAACUAUUAUUCAAUCUAAUCGUUCCUUAUUUUAGAAUACGUAGUUGUAUGUAUUAAAGUUAAUGUCUUCAUGAUAAUUUAUUGUCAAACAUAUUAACUAGGCUAACUUUUAAGUUGUAAAGAUUGUGAAGCUUGAAUUUAACACUUUAUCAGGAAACAGUUGAAUAUUCAAGUUGAUUAAAUGUAUUGAUUUUUUAAAUUUUCCGGCGAAAUAUUAUUCCUGAUAGGUAUUUGAUGAUUUAAUUGAGAAAUUUUACAGUUGAAUAAUAAUUCGACAAAUAAUAAGAAGCGUUUCACCCUGUUGUCAAUAUUUGUAGUAGCAGAAGUCAUCAGGGUGAUUUACAGCAUUUAAUUUGGAUUUACGUUCAAUAAUAAUUUGAGUGAUAAUACUUGUUUGCUUAUUAGGUGAAUAUUGUAAUAUUGUGAGUUCUAAUAGUAAUUGGAGAACAGUAAGUUUUUCAGAAUGUAAAAAAUCUAUAAUUUGCAACAAAUUGAAGAUAUUGUUGAAGGUUUUAUACCAAUUGAUUUUUCAUAGCUUGUAUCAAUAAGAUAAUAUGGAAUCUAAAUUUAAAAAUGCCAAAUUAACAAAAGGAAAAAAAGAUUCAAGUUAUAUUGAUUGAUGAAAAAACAGUCAUUGAAAUUCAAUGCAACUCUAUUCAUUAAUUCAUUUUUACAAGCAGGCCAACUAAUAAUACUAUCUAGGAUUCGAGAAGGAUUUUGACUAUGAGUGUUCAAGACUUCUUGAUAUAAUGAUAGAUCACUUUUGUUUCUAGUUCUAUCUAUUAUAGCUUGUAAAUAAGUAGACUACUAUUUUUAUACUUAAUUUUUAUUUCAUCUAGGCAAGCCAAAAGAACAAUAAUAUUGUUCCGAGUUUUCAAGACGUCUUGGAAAUGUUGAUAACAUUAUAAUUUGUAUUUAACAUAGCUGUAAUUGUAAUCAUUAUUGUUUAAUUGUUUAAUAACAUUAUGUAAGUUAUCUUGAAGUUCAACUUCUAAAAAUAAAAUCUAUGAGAUAAUAAUA
This 3954-nucleotide unclassified non-coding RNA is filed under the name Nilaparvata lugens (brown planthopper). RNAcentral describes it as "uncharacterized LOC120349490, transcript variant X1". Lineage: Eukaryota; Metazoa; Arthropoda; Insecta; Hemiptera; Delphacidae. The record is from RNAcentral.